GAGUGCAGAAGAGGAGAGUGGAAUUCCACGUGUAGCGGUGAAAUGCGUAGAGAUGUGGAGGAACACCAGUGGCGAAGGCGACUCUCUGGUCUGUAACUGACGCUGAGGCGCGAAAGCGUGGGGAGCGAACAGGAUUAGAUACCCUGGUAGUCCACGCCGUAAACGAUGAGUGCUAAGUGUUAGAGGGUUUCCGCCCUUUAGUGCCGCAGCAAACGCAUUAAGCACUCCGCCUGGGGAGUACGGUCGCAAGACUGAAACUCAAAGGAAUUGACGGGGGCCCGCACAAGCGGUGGCGCAUGUGGUUUAAUUCGAAGCAACGCGAAGCACCUUCCCACGUCUUGACAUCCUCUGACAACCCUAGAGAUAGGGCUUCCCCUUCGGGGUCAGACUCACAGGUGGUGCAUGGUUGUCGUCAGCUCGUGUCGUGAGAUGUUGGGUUAAGUCCCGCAACGAGCGCAACCCUUGAUCUUAGUUGCCAGCAUUCAGUUGGGCACUCUAAGGUGACUGCCGGUGACAAACCGGAGGAAGGUGGGGAUGACGUCAAAUCAUCAUGCCCCUUAUGACCUGGGCUACACACGUGCUACAAUGGGCAGAACAAAGGGCAGCGAAGCCGCGAGGCUAAGCCAAUCCCACAAAUCUGUUCUCAGUUCGGAUCGCAGUCUGCAACUCGACUGCGUGAAGCUGGAAUCGCUAGUAAUCGCGGAUCAGCAUGCCGCGGUGAAUACGUUCCCGGGCCUUGUACACACCGCCCGUCAC
Molecule: ribosomal RNA, 756 nt
Filed under: Bacillus sp. (in: firmicutes)
Lineage: Bacteria; Bacillati; Bacillota; Bacilli; Caryophanales; Bacillaceae
Description: bacterial SSU rRNA
Rfam family: Bacterial small subunit ribosomal RNA
Source: RNAcentral